UUCUCUUCUCCUCUCCUCUCCUCUCCUCUCCUUUCUCUCUCAGCAUCUUCUACUGUUUUGGUCUUUCAAUAAGGUCUCGUUUCACCUGAAUGUGCUUGGUCCAAGGGUCGUUAUAAUUCGAUAUACUGAGCCAAUGCCAUAUAUAGAAAUGAAGAGCAAGAUAAGCAAGGUUCUUGGUGUCUGUAAGAAACAUAAAGCAACUAUAAGAAAUUCUUCGUCUUUGUCCAAAAUAUCAGAGGACUUGGAAAGCAUGACCACAGCUACUAUUCAUACGAGCCAAGAGGAUGAGAAACAGCAUCCUGGUUUUGAUACUUUUGCCCGGGAUAAUGAAACAAAUGAACCCGCUGAAAUGCUUGUGGAAGACACUUCUCAGUCUCAGGCGGUUGCAUCUUCUGUUGAUGGUUCUGAAUCUGUUGAAAAAAUGGAAAUUGCUUGCAAUUACAUGUCAAACUCAGAUACAAUAUUUUCACCUGUUCUGAAUGAUGAACUGGAUGGAAGUGAUCGAGUAUUUACCGCAGGAAACUCCGUGCACUGGGAAACCCCCAGGUGGGGAGCCGACGAGAGCAGCAACAAGAUUUGCUUCGACAACCAAACAUGCAAUGUUUCUGAUUUCUAUAUUUCUGACGUUCUCAUUGCAAGCUUGCCUUUUGAUGAGAAUGGAAAUGAUGCUUUCACUGAAAUAAGUCCCUUGCCUCAUUACAUCUUUCCUGAGCAGUACAUGGUACUACCUUACUUAGAAGAUGGAUCAGCCAACACAGAUGAUAUUAAGUCAGACGUUGACAAGAUUAAUCUCGAUAACCAUGACUUGUUUCUGGCAUUCAACCGGACGAGAUCCUACAACAUGGAAUCAGAGGAUCAUGCUGACAAUGAACUAGCUGAAGACUUUGAUCCUCAGCUUUUUAUAAAAAAUCAACCGGAAUUAUCGGAUGUUGUAUCCAAUUAUUGGCCUCGGGAUACCUUAAGAAAGAAGUCUGUGACGCUUGUCCUUGAUUUGGAUGAAACUUUGGUCCAUUCCUCUCUGGAAACGUGUAACGCUGCAGAUUUUUCAUUCAGAGUCUUUUUCAACAUGCAAGAAAACACUGUCUAUGUAAAACAAAGGCCACACCUUUACAGGUUCUUGGAGAGGGUGGUAGAAUUGUUUCAUGUCGUCAUCUUCACAGCAAGCCACAGCAUCUAUGCCUCACAACUUCUAGAUAUAUUGGACCCUGAUGGAAAGUUCAUAUCACAGCGUUUAUAUCGCGAUUCAUGCAUUCUUUUGGAUGGAAUUUACACCAAGGAUUUAACUGUUCUGGGUCUUGAUCUGGCCAAAGUGGCAAUAAUUGACAACUGUCCACAGGUGUACAGAUUGCAAAUAAAUAAUGGGAUCCCUAUCAAAAGUUGGUACGAUGAUCCAACUGAUGAUGGUUUGGUUUCUAUACUUCCCUUCUUAGAGACUUUGGCUGUGGCUGAUGAUGUUCGACCUAUCAUUGGCAGGAGAUUUGGUAACAAGGAAUAAGAGCUUCCUUUUCUUUUCUUUUUUGUCUAUAUACAUCGAGUGCAGAUUCUGAUUUCAUUCCUUUCGAAUUAUAGUCAUAAGUUGGCUCUUAAUUAGUUUCUCAUAUCUCUUUUUAGGUUGUUAACUAGGUAACCAAAGAAUAAGCUCGAUGAGUCUAGUGAGAAUAUCAUCCAAUGAAGUAACGAACUUAACUAUAUAUAUACGCUUAAUGGAAUUGACAAGAGUAGGUAAGCUUUAAAUUCAUUUUUACUUGUCCUUUUUUUUGGUCUAACAAGCUUCUUCUGCUUCUGGUUUCUUAUUUCCUUCCUCUCCAACCCUGUAAUUUUACUGAAAGCUGUUUCACAAUCUUGCUACUUAACUCGGUCCAAAAUCUGUUUCAUGUAGAGUGGAAAAAUGUUAUUGUCUUAAUAUCAAACACACUCACAGAUGAUUGUAUAAAAUGUGUAUCUCAGUUUCAGUGAUGCUGUUUUCUCAGCUUCUGAGCUUUGUUUGUUUCUUCC
Capsella rubella is the source of this 1995-nucleotide RNA transcript. It is a transcript of the gene named probable C-terminal domain small phosphatase, with no coding region annotated. The transcript is spliced from 8 exons. Lineage: Eukaryota; Viridiplantae; Streptophyta; Magnoliopsida; Brassicales; Brassicaceae. The record is from RefSeq and is a predicted model, not a curated record.